This 230-nucleotide unclassified non-coding RNA is filed under the name plant metagenome. Its description in RNAcentral is "partial contains small subunit ribosomal RNA, internal transcribed spacer 1, and 5.8S ribosomal RNA". The record is from RNAcentral.
GCUCCGUUGGUGAACCAGCGGAGGGAUCAUUACAGAGUUGCAAAACUCCCAAACCAUUGAGAACGUUACCUAUCCCGUUGCUUCGGCGGGCGGCCCGGGCCCCGUGCCCGGCGCCCCCCGGCCCCCCGUGGGCGCCCGCCGGAGGUAAACCAAACCCUUGAAUUGUAUGGCCUCUCUGAGUCUUCUGUACUGAUAAGUCAAAACUUUCAACAACGGAUCUCUUGGUUCUG